Papilio polytes (common Mormon) is the source of this 296-nucleotide long non-coding RNA. RefSeq lists it as uncharacterized. The record is from RefSeq and is a predicted model, not a curated record. Lineage: Eukaryota; Metazoa; Arthropoda; Insecta; Lepidoptera; Papilionidae. The transcript has 3 exons.
AGCAUUCGCGCCGCCGCCAUGACACUCGCAGUCCGCGCGCCCCGCAGCGCCCCGCGUCGUGCGCCGCGCACUGCUACACCUCACAAUACGAUUAUAAUAUCAUAAAUUAGCGGAGAAAAACCGUGACCCGCUACGUGACGUCACGCGCUGCGACCCGUGCUCUUGUUGCGAGCGCCCCUGGCCCCGGUGUCGCUGCGGCCCACACUCAUCGCCACUGAGCGCCCCUGGAAGCGCUAAUAACCGGAAAUGGGAGUAUCGGGGGAGAGCGAGGGCUGCGCGGCGGCGCGCACGUGGCG